ACCAUAGCAGUCGUACAAGGUAUCCGUAGGGGUGGAUUAGUGGCGAACGGGUGAGUAACACGUGAGCAACCUGCCCUUGACUCUGGGAUAAGCCUGGGAAACUGGGUCUAAUACCGGAUAGUACCCCUUGCCGCAUGGUGGGGGGUGGAAAGCCUUGUGCGGUCUUGGAUGGGCUCGCGGCCUAUCAGCUUGUUGGUGGGGUGAUGGCCUACCAAGGCGACGACGGGUAGCCGGCCUGAGAGGGUGACCGGCCACACUGGGACUGAGACACGGCCCAGACUCCUACGGGAGGCAGCAGUGGGGAAUAUUGCACAAUGGGCGAAAGCCUGAUGCAGCGACGCCGCGUGGGGGAUGACGGCCUUCGGGUUGUAAACCCCUUUCGGCAGGGAACAAGCCGCUUCGGUGGUGAGGGUACCUGCGGAAGAAGCGCCGGCUAACUACGUGCCAGCAGCCGCGGUAAUACGUAGGGCGCGAGCGUUAUCCGGAAUUAUUGGGCGUAAAGAGCUCGUAGGCGGUUUGUCGCGUCUGCUGUGAAAGCCCGGGGCUCAACCCCGGGUCUGCAGUGGGUACGGGCAGGCUGGAGUGCAGUAGGGGAGACUGGAAUUCCUGGUGUAGCGGUGAAAUGCGCAGAUAUCAGGAGGAACACCGAUGGCGAAGGCAGGUCUCUGGGGCUGUAAACUGACGCUGAGGAGCGAAAGCAUGGGGAAGCGAACA
RNAcentral lists this ribosomal RNA (714 nucleotides) under Sinomonas sp. Its description in RNAcentral is "bacterial SSU rRNA". It matches the Rfam family "Bacterial small subunit ribosomal RNA", at positions 50 to 774 of the family's 1533-position model. The record is from RNAcentral. Lineage: Bacteria; Bacillati; Actinomycetota; Actinomycetes; Micrococcales; Micrococcaceae.